GUCUUUGUGGUGUAGUGGUCAGCACGCUCGGCGCCUAUUCGAGAGGUCCGUGGUUCGAGUCCCAGCGGGGGCA
Stegodyphus mimosarum is the source of this 73-nucleotide non-coding RNA. Lineage: Eukaryota; Metazoa; Arthropoda; Arachnida; Araneae; Eresidae. The record is from Rfam.